CUUUAGCCCCGAUUGCAGCGGCAUCCUUUUUUGGCGCGAGCGAAGCGAGCGCCGAAAAAGAUAUAGCGGAAAGCGGGACUUAUU
Molecule: small RNA, 84 nt
Filed under: Halpernia frigidisoli
Lineage: Bacteria; Pseudomonadati; Bacteroidota; Flavobacteriia; Flavobacteriales; Weeksellaceae
Description: Flavo-1 RNA
Rfam family: Flavo-1 RNA
Source: Rfam by way of RNAcentral